Molecule: ribosomal RNA, 257 nt
Filed under: uncultured prokaryote
Description: partial 16S ribosomal RNA
Rfam family: Bacterial small subunit ribosomal RNA
Source: RNAcentral
UAAUACGGAGGGUGCAAGCGUUGCUCGGAAUUACUGGGCGUAAAGCGUACGCAGGCUGUUCACUAAGUCGGGUGUGAAAUCCCGGGGCUCAACCCCGGAAUUGCACCCGAAACUGGUGAGCUUGAGUGCGGGAGAGGGAAGCGGAAUUCCUGGUGUAGAGGUGAAAUUCGUAGAUAUCAGGAGGAACACCGGUGGCGAAAGCGGCUUCCUGGCCCGACACUGACGCUCAUGUACGAAAGCGUGGGGAGCAAACAGGA